This is a long non-coding RNA of Scophthalmus maximus (turbot), 560 nucleotides long. RefSeq lists it as uncharacterized. NCBI's taxonomy places the organism in Eukaryota, Metazoa, Chordata, Actinopteri, Pleuronectiformes, Scophthalmidae. The transcript is spliced from 3 exons. The record is from RefSeq and is a predicted model, not a curated record.
GCCGCACUACGACUCGGGAUCACUCGGGUCACAUAAAAGCACUCACACAGGCGGAAGGCCUGUGGGUGACCCGGCCUCAAACGCUGAGUGUAAAGUGUUAAUCGCAGCCAUAAAUGCAGCCAAGACAGGCACUGAGGAGUCUCCCUGAACGAAUCUGCAGAGAAGUCCUGUGUGUGUGUGUGUCAGUCUUUCUGAUGGGCUGUUAAAGCCGUCGGGGUGCUGUGAUCUGAGAGCGCACUCCAGCGAAAACGCAUAUGGUCCUGGUUAAGGCCGGGGGACAUCGGAUUAAAGAAAUUCUUCUCGAAACAGCCCGAUAACAACAGUGGAAAAGAGGCCAGCUGCAGGGGGAUUCUGCAGAACACAUUUCAGUGCAGAGAGAGCCAAACGUCCACAAAAGCAGCACCAUACCUUCUCUGAAUACAGGCCUCGAGGUAUAAUGUACCCAUCAUCAGUGACUGUGUACAGUAACAUAGACCAACAGCAAGCUUCGGUAUCAGGUAUUUAUAAAUGAAAUGCUUUUCAGACCACUGAGCAAUUAUCAAACUUAUCAAACUCAAAAU